Molecule: long non-coding RNA, 243 nt
Filed under: Capsicum annuum
Lineage: Eukaryota; Viridiplantae; Streptophyta; Magnoliopsida; Solanales; Solanaceae
Description: long non-coding RNA (CANN_LNC019171)
Source: RNAcentral
CCGCCGUAGGUUCUAAAGGGUCAGCCUUAAGACCAGGCUUGACACCUCAACUGUUUUGAUGGUAGUUAUCUAUGGUAUAGUAUGGUAUGGUUAAUAAGGUAACCCUAUUUUUUGAUUAUUUCCUAAAAUUUAUGUUAUGGUAUGGUUUAAUUCAUGAUUUGGUAACCAUGAAAACCCACACUUUUUGUAACAACUAAUUUGUUGGAAUCCUAUAGUUUGUUUUUUUGCAAUUAUGCCUUUAUU